This 119-nucleotide ribosomal RNA is filed under the name Lepisosteus oculatus (spotted gar). The record is from RNAcentral. Lineage: Eukaryota; Metazoa; Chordata; Actinopteri; Semionotiformes; Lepisosteidae.
GCCAGCAGCCAUGUCACCCUGCAACUUACAAUUGGCAGCCCACUGAAGCUAAGCAGGUGUGAGCCUGGUCAGUACCUGGACGGGAGACCUCCUGGGAAAAACUAAGGUUGCUGCUGGAA